This 491-nucleotide ribosomal RNA is filed under the name uncultured bacterium. RNAcentral's name for it is "partial 16S ribosomal RNA". It matches the Rfam family "Bacterial small subunit ribosomal RNA", at positions 29 to 506 of the family's 1533-position model. The record is from RNAcentral.
AGUGAACGCUGGCGGUAGGCCUAACACAUGCAAGUCGAACGGCAGCACAGUAAGAGCUAGCUCUUACGGGUGGCGAGUGGCGGACGGGUGAGGAAUACAUCGGAAUCUACUUUUUCGUGGGGGAUAACGUAGGGAAACUUACGCUAAUACCGCAUACGACCUACGGGUGAAAGCAGGGGAUCUUCGGACCUUGCGCGAUUGAAUGAGCCGAUGUCGGAUUAGCUAGUUGGCGGGGUAAAGGCCCACCAAGGCGACGAUCCGUAGCUGGUCUGAGAGGAUGAUCGGCCACACUGGAACUGAGACACGGUCCAGACUCCUACGGGAGGCAGCAGUGGGGAAUAUUGGACAAUGGGCGCAAGCCUGAUCCAGCCAUACCGCGUGGGUGAAGAAGGCCUUCGGGUGGUAAAGCCCUUUUGUUGGGAAAGAAAAGCAGCAGGUUAAGACCCCGCUGUUCUGACGGUACCCAAAGAAUAAGCACCGGCUAACUUCGC